This 252-nucleotide long non-coding RNA is filed under the name Elaeis guineensis (African oil palm). Its description in RNAcentral is "long non-coding RNA (EGUI_LNC041919)". Lineage: Eukaryota; Viridiplantae; Streptophyta; Magnoliopsida; Arecales; Arecaceae. The record is from RNAcentral.
GAUCUCAGGUCUAAGGGACAGUUAUACCUAUAUCCCAUCAGAGACAUUCUCGACAGCAGAAUGCUCUGGAGUUGGUCACGUUCAAUGACGAUGUACCCUUACAUCUCACCUGUAUGCCAUACCAGUAUCUCCACACUCUUUGGUUAAGAGGACAACCAACCCAUAUGGCCUACAGCGACCUAUGCUCGAUAGAAGCUGUCAUCCUUAGUAACAGCCUAUCAUUUGGUCGUGAAUAGUUUUAAGGACUAAUCG